Non-coding RNA from Zonotrichia albicollis (white-throated sparrow), 3373 nucleotides. The record is from RefSeq and is a predicted model, not a curated record. NCBI's taxonomy places the organism in Eukaryota, Metazoa, Chordata, Aves, Passeriformes, Passerellidae.
CAUCAAUUCACAAUCUGUUUACAAUGUUUUCUGAAUAUAUAGUUCAUAUCAUUUUUCUAUUUCAUUCCUAGCAUGAAAAAAUAAGGAGAAAAUACAGCAAUAGGAAAGCAUAUCAAGGGAGAAAAGCAAGACUCAUUCUAAUUAUAAACAACUUGCUAGCAAAGCAGCAAAGAGACUGAUUUAUGUGAUUGAGGGUAUUUAAACUACAAAUAUGGGGGCUGCAAUUCCUUCACAAGAACUUCCUGAUGAGCCCUUUUCUCUUGGUCAGAAGCGGUUGUGACCCUGUUUUUCAAACCCCUGCAUUUCCAGUUAAUGGAAGAGGAGCUAAUGAUGAUUGGCAUUUUAUCUACUGGCUCAGGAGUUAGAAGCUGCACCAGAUUAAGCUCUGUGAAGGACAGGCAGUCACCUCCCAGGUCUGGAGAUCACUUGUGCCUUUUCCACCUCAACAACAGCUGCCAUUUCCACCUAAUUCACUAAAUCUGCUCAGGACUGGAUUUUGACUCUCUUCAGCUUCCCAGAUGAAGGAAGAUUUCCAACCACAAGGCCAAAUUCUUCCAUGAUACAGAUCCACUGAGGCUACUGCAAUUAAAGCAGGAAUGAAUCUGGUGCAUUGUGUCUCAACCAUGGAUGGUGACUCACUGGAAAGAAAGCCCAGCCAGAUGAGAACAAAGCAGUGCCUAAUACCUGAAUGGCCAUUUAAUCAAACAGGAUUCAUUCAAGAAGGAAACUAGCACAGAUAAUGCCACAGCUUAUGCCACACACUGUGGGGAACACAGCACACACUACUGGAGCCUGAAUUGCUGCAUUACUCCCACCAACCCUUUUCUCCAUGAAGAGUAAAUCCAUGCAUCUAUGACACUGACUAGAGAUUUAAGCCUGGCUUAUUAGAAUUCAGUCCACCUGACUCACCUGGUAUGGGCCAAUAGAUUAAGCUUGUGUUCUGCAACAUGGUCUCUGGAGUUCUCUUCCAUCCUACGAGACCGAGAUCCAUGGGUUGGUUCCAUUUAUCUAAUAAGUAAAUUAGAGACUUCUGAAGAUUCAAAAGUCCUUUAAAAUUAUGCAGUUAUUCUCCAUCACCCUAACAGAUCACUUUGCACAGGGCUGAGCUCCAAAGUGUUAUGAACAAAAGCAAACCAAGUAAUUUAAUGUUGCUUAUACUGUGCCUUAAUAUAAAUAAAUAUAUUUGCAAAAUUUUCUGCUUUUGUGAUGAGUGGAAGUAUUCCAUGUUAAGGCACUUUAUACUUCUCAAACUUCAGCUUUUUGCAGAUGAGAUCAAGAUACCUUAAGAGGACUAAUCAGUGAAUUUCCAUCUGCCUCUUAUUGUCUGCAUCCCUUCUCUAUGCCCAGAGCAUUCAAGAGCAAGUGAACCUCAUGUGGCUUAAGGUAAAUUCUGGAAAAGGAUCUUGCGGCCUCCUGAUUUUGGCUUAGAUACCUAUAUUCUGGCCACUAUGCAGUUCAGCCCAAAAAUAUUUUGUGAAUCUGGCCCAGGUGUGUUUUUGAUAGACCUGUCAGUACUUCAGCUGGAAAGCAACUGCAAUUUUGAAACGAUCGAAAAUGUGAAAAAAUUAUUUUUGCCACUCACCAGCUUAUAAAUUCAUCAGUUUCCACUAAAAACAGACUCAUACAAUUUUUUAUGCACCACUUAAAGUUAAAUUGAUAAUAUAGAAAUUAUGGAAAAUUGGCCAACUGAAAAUUGUAUAAACAAUUCUAAAUAUGAGCCCUGAUGCAUUCAAAACAGAAGUAACUGCUUACUUUGACUGGGUAGCCUGCAAUUAUUAAAGAACCAGUAAGGUGAACAUCAGUAGGUUCAAGGCAACUAAAGAAGUAUCCUCCUUUAUGGAUGAUGGAAAUUUCUUUACAGAUGGAAUAGACUACCUACCUUCUAGAUCCACAUCUUUCUGCCCUUGUUGCCCUUGUUGAGGGACUGAAGAAAAGGAAAGGUAUAUUGAAAUCAGAUUUGUGAGGUGCCUAAUUUGGAUGGACUAAAUCCAUUCCAUGCUCCUCCAUCUGAAUUUUUGACCUAAAUUCUGAAGAUUAAUUAAAUAGUAAAUCUAAAUAACUGAUUUGUUUCUUAGUUAAAUUCUUUGGGAAGCUAUCAUAGAAUUCUAGAGGUUUGUUUUUUUAGUGAUAAAAGCUUAGAAAUAAUGUGGCAUACAGUUCUCACAGAACUGUUAUUUCACAUGAGGUUUCUGCCUUGUUUACUUGGAGGUACUAGUCAUAUUCCCUAAGUUUUUUCAUCUUAAUCCUUCAUAAAAUUUGACAUUCUUUCCUGCACUCCUAAAUUUGCUGUUCCCCAGCCUUAGGCAUACCAUGUCCUUCAUCUCACUUUUGAAUGUAUAUUUACUGUACACCAAUCAAUCAAAGAAUCCAGUAAUAACAUGUUUCAUAAACUGCCAGAAUAUCAGUACAAAAGGCCAUCAAAAAAAUCUCUCAAGACAAAAUGAAUAGGUGCAAUUUCUUUAUCUGACAAACUAUUUAACUGGCCUAACAUUUAUUAGAAGUAAAUGAUCCUGACAGCUAAAUGCAACAUGAAAAAAAAAGUAAUUAAAUAAUCAAAUAGAGUAUGUAAAAAAGCAAUAGGUGAACACCUUCUCUGCUGAAGUCAUCAGCACUUCCAGACACAUUUUUCUUUUUGUGAAAUGAAGAUGUACAGGAAAACACAGUAUUCAGCCUAUAAAAAAAGAUUAAAACAGUCCCAAAAGUUCAACAUUUUAUAGUUUUAUAUGUUGUAGUCUGACAAGGAGAAGACCCAUUCUAAGUAGUAUUGCUAAUACUUAUUAUCCAAACCCUGAAUACAAAAACAAUUAUAUUUCUUAUGAUGAACUUCAUAUAGUCCUGGAGGGUAGGAAGAUGCUGGUGGAGAUCCUGAGUAAAACAUUAUAUUACAUAAACCUCAAUAUAUCUUUUAUAGUUCAUUCAAAAAUAUACGUGAAAUAAAAUUAGGAGCUUUGUACAACACCAAACAUUUUUCUAAUUAUUUCCUUUCAUACAAAAGGGAGUGGUUAUCCAUAGGCUUGCCAUUUUUGGCUUUCAUGAUUGGAAUAAGGAUGCAUUUACAUUAUCUAGGCUUCAUUAUACUAGUUUUAUUUCCUUUGCUGCUUCAGUUUGAACUUUUUUUGAGAGAAAAGUUGAUAAAAGGAAGCUAAAUAAACUUGCAAUUUAAAGUAUGAAAAUGCUCUGUGGCAAGAGAUUGGACAGGAAAUCUCCAAAGAGAAAACUCAUUAACAAUACAUGAGCCCUGAAGAUGUGGGAGUUUUUCUGAAAAAUGGGUACCAUUUAAACUUGCAAUUAACUUGUGAAUUAGGAGCAGAUGAAUAUAAUGAUGUCUAAUAAAUGAAUGUCUGGCUUGAAAUAAAUGACUACAUUAAACUUA